UCGACGACGUCACGAGAGGUUAGUAGUACUGUCGUCAGGAUGAACGCUAGCUACAGGCUUAACACAUGCAAGUCGAGCGGAACUGCUUCGGCAGUUUAGCGGCAGACGGGUGAGUAACACGUAUCCAACCUUCCCUUACCCGGGUAUAGCCUCGGGAAACUGAGAGUAAUCCCCGAUGUGGUGCACGAGAAGCAUUUUUUGCGCACGAAAGAUUCAUCGGUAAGGGGUGGGGAUGCGUUCCAUUAGUUAGUAGGCGGGGCAACGGCCCACCUAGACGAUGAUGGAUAGGGGUUCUGAGAGGAAGGUCCCCCACAUUGGAACUGCGACACGGUCCAAACUCCUACGGGAGGCAGCAGUGAGGAAUAUUGGUCAAUGGCCGGAAGGCUGAACCAGCCAAGUAGCGUGCAGGAUGACGGCCCUAUGGGUUGUAAACUGCUUUUGUACGGGAAUAACGGUCGCCACGCGUGGUGAUGUGCAUGUACCGUACGAAUAAGGAUCGGCUAACUCCGUGCCAGCAGCAGC
Molecule: ribosomal RNA, 522 nt
Filed under: uncultured bacterium
Lineage: Bacteria
Description: bacterial SSU rRNA
Rfam family: Bacterial small subunit ribosomal RNA
Source: RNAcentral